Molecule: ribosomal RNA, 207 nt
Filed under: uncultured bacterium
Lineage: Bacteria
Description: partial 16S ribosomal RNA
Rfam family: Bacterial small subunit ribosomal RNA
Source: RNAcentral
CGUGUAGGCGGCUUGAUAAGUCCGGUGUGAAAUCUUGGGGCUCAACCCCCAAGCCUGCAUCGGAUACUGUCUCGCUCGAGUUCGGGAGGGGAGAGCGGAAUUCCUAGUGUAGCGGUGAAAUGCGCAGAUAUUAGGAAGAACACCAGUGGCGAAGGCGGCUCUCUGGAACGAUACUGACGCUGAGACGCGAAAGCGUGGGAGCGAACA